Molecule: non-coding RNA, 30 nt
Filed under: Homo sapiens (human)
Lineage: Eukaryota; Metazoa; Chordata; Mammalia; Primates; Hominidae
Source: RNAcentral
UCCACUGUGGGUGGUACAAGACUCAUACCA